AUGGCCCGGGAGCUGAACCGCCGAGACAUCCUGUACCUCAACGUGGUGGAGCCCGAGAUGUCGUGGGAGGGCGACGCCGGGGCGCUUGGGGCGGGGCAUCACAGGCUGCAGGCGAUGAGGGACACCUUCGACGGGACGCUGAUGGUCGGCGGAGGGUACGGCAGGGAGGAGGGGAACUGCGCCAUCGCCGAAGAGUACGCCGACCUGGUCGCCUACGGCCGCCUCUUCCUCGCCAACCCCGACCUGCCGGAGAGGUUCCGGCGGAACGCGCCGCUGAACAAGUACAACCGGGCGACGUUCUACACCGACGACCCCGUCGUCGGGUACACGGACUACCCGUUUCUCGGCCAGACGUCCAAGGGGAAUGGCAUGAUGUAG
This 378-nucleotide ribosomal RNA is filed under the name Triticum aestivum (bread wheat). RNAcentral's name for it is "partial small subunit ribosomal RNA". The record is from RNAcentral. Lineage: Eukaryota; Viridiplantae; Streptophyta; Magnoliopsida; Poales; Poaceae.